RNAcentral lists this long non-coding RNA (374 nucleotides) under Olea europaea subsp. europaea. The stretch from base 1 to 110 matches the Rfam family "U5 spliceosomal RNA". The record is from RNAcentral. Lineage: Eukaryota; Viridiplantae; Streptophyta; Magnoliopsida; Lamiales; Oleaceae.
GCAGUGAGCACAGAGCGAACUAUUCUUUCGCCUUUAACUAAAGAAUACCGUGUGCUUGUUGUAGAUAGCGGCAUACACCAAUUUUUGGAGGGGCUUUCCCGGUAGGGAUUGUCCCAACCAAUUCUAGUUUAAGUGUCUUAUUUUCACAAAAUAAUAUGUGAAAGAUUUAGCCUUCUUGACUUUAAGCAAUAUAUUUUCUUAAGAGUCAAUUUAAUUUGUAAUGCAAUUUUUAAUUGUGAGUAACUAAAUCUUGAAAUUAAUUGAGUUCGUUGUUUGACUGCAAUUUGUUUCAUCUUUUUAUGAGAUGAAAUCUCAUAUCGUUGAUAUGCUAAAUUCAGGUUUAUAGAUUUUUGCUGAAUUGUAGCAAAAUGGUG